Cyclopterus lumpus (lumpfish) is the source of this 438-nucleotide long non-coding RNA. RefSeq lists it as uncharacterized. The transcript has 3 exons. NCBI's taxonomy places the organism in Eukaryota, Metazoa, Chordata, Actinopteri, Perciformes, Cyclopteridae. The record is from RefSeq and is a predicted model, not a curated record.
GGAGCCGAAGGAUGGCGAGGAGAGUCGGGACGCACGCAGCACGCAGCUCGCCCUCGUUCACCUGAAGCCCUGCACGCCCCGAGGAGUGGAGCUAGAAGAAGGAGAGAAGAAGAAGAGGAGAAGAAGAAGAGGAGAAGAAGAAGAGAAGAAGAGAAGAAGGAAACAACAACAACAACAACGCAGCUUGGUCUCGUCGCGGUGAGACAUCGGAGCCUCGAACUCUCUUUUCCUUUUUGCCCUCUUCCCUCGGACUACCACAGGUGGCACCCAUGGGUGUUUGGACCGUGGCCGUGGCCGCUCUGCUGGCUGCCUCAGGGUGCUGGUUGGCUGAAGGGCUCAAGAGCAGCAGGCGAGACGACGCAGCCGCAAUGUCACGCUCCUCCUCCCAGGAGACGCACUCCACGGAGAAGGGGAAAGCGGACGGCAUCAUCGAUCAAU